Daucus carota subsp. sativus is the source of this 3412-nucleotide long non-coding RNA. RefSeq lists it as uncharacterized. The record is from RefSeq and is a predicted model, not a curated record. The transcript has 4 exons. Lineage: Eukaryota; Viridiplantae; Streptophyta; Magnoliopsida; Apiales; Apiaceae.
UGCUCACCCCUAACCCCUGCAUAUCAGAGUCACAAUGCAACACAUCCUUUUUCAAGGGUGUCUAAUGAUAAGCCUUUCAAUGCAGGUAUAUGUAUCAAAAUUAAGGUUGCAUUUUAUAUUCCUCCCAAAAUAGUGUUGAUUGUGUUUUUUUGCAAAUUAGGUUCAACACCAUGGGGAUCAGUGAAUACUCCCCUCGUAGUGGUGAAGGUAGCACAUCCAAUUUAGGUAAAGGUUUUAUUCUGCUUGCAAGUUUUCUUGGUUCGAAACGUUAUAUGCAACAAAGUUUUCAAGAUCCGCUUGCAAUAUGUCGUUACAUUGGCCAUCCCGACAUAUUCCUUACAAUGGCUACUAAUCCAAUGUGGGAUGAGAUAGUACAGAUGAUGAAUAAUUUGCCUGGUUGUUUGACGGUUGAUUCCCCAGAUAUAAUUGCCCGUGUUUUUAAGCUUAAACUUGAUCAGAUUGUUGAAGACAUAAAGAAUAAGGCAUAUUUUGAAGUGUGUGUUGCAAUCAUGUACGUUGUUGAGUUUUAAAAGCGAGGUUUGUCCCAUGUGCAUAUGUUGAUCUAGCUUGACGGAGAUUCGAAGAAGAAUCUCAAUGCCAAUGUUGAUAAAUAUGUAUCAGCAGAAAUCCCUGAUCCAGAAAUAGAUCCACUUGGUUACAAUGUUGUUGCUCGCCAUAUGAUACACCGUACACGGCCCUUGUGGAGUAGAGAACACCAAGUCUCCAUGCAUGAAGGGCAUGAAGUGUACAAAACACUUCCACAAGAAGUACUGUCCCAGACUACUUUUGAUCAAUCGGGAUUUCCUAUUUACAAGCGUCGGUAUACUGAUAUUACAGUGAAGAAAGGAAAGUCCAUGCUUGACAACCAAUAUGUUGUGCCUUACAAUCGGGAUUUAUGGUGAAAUACCAACGCCAUAUGAACGUAGAAAUAUGUUGUCAUGCUCGGAAUCUCAAAUACAUGUUCAAGUACUGCCUUAAAGGCCAUGAUCGUGCUACGGUCAAGAUUUUAAAUAAAAGCACCUCAACUCAUCAUGAUGAUAAUGUUCCGAAAGAUGAAAUACAAGCAUAUUUUGAUGGGCGGUAUAUCUGUGGUGCUGAAGCAGCUUACCGGAUCUUUGGAUUUGAUGUACACUACCGAUCUAUCUCGGUUUUACGUUUAUCCUUCCACUUGCCCGGGAAACGUAACCGCGCUUUUCGAGAGGACGAAGAACUGCAAAAGGUUGUUGAUCGUGAGAAGUUUAAACGCAGUCAAUUGGAAGCAUUUUUCCAGUUAAAUAUUCAUGACCAUACUGCUCGCAAGUACACAUACGAUGAAAUUCCGAGAUACUAUGUAUGGAAUGAAGCAGACCAUGUAUGGACUGUUCGGAAGAAAGUGAACCAGAUUGGGAGGUUAUUAUAUACUCACCACAGCUCAGGUGAAAUUUGGUACAUGCGUUUGUUAUUGUCAAAAGUCUGUGGUCCUACAUCUUUCAAAUUUUUAAAAACUGUUGAUGGCGUCCUUUGCAAGACAUUUCAAGAAGCAUGUAAAAACAUGGUUUUUUAGAUGAUGAUAAUGAAUGGGAUGAGUUAAUGACCGAAUGUUCAAAAUGCGGGUUUCCUGGUCAGAUUAGAGAGCUAUUUGUACAUAUUAUUAUGAAUUGUCAAGUGUCUGAUAUUAGAGGUUUGUGGAACACACACUGGAAGGAAAUGUCUCACGACAUUCUGAUGCAGCAGACCAGAGACAAGCCACAGUCUGAUGGUUUUUUGAGUCAGAAACAAUUGGAAUAUAAAGUUCUUGCUGAGGUUGAUAAAUUACUCUGAUGCAUUGGAAAGUCACUAAAGCAAUUUGGUAUGAUACCCCAACCUCCUGCAGCAUAUCUCCAAACUGGUUGUGAUAAUCUGAUCAACGAUGAGACAAGUUAUGAUGUCCAAGUGAUGGAGGAAGAAUUUGGUAAGCUUUUCCCCAACUAUAAUGCUGAACAACUUGAGGUUUACAAUGCAGUAAUGGAUUCAGUUGAUAAGGGCUAAGGGGGUUUUUUUUGUUUAUGGUAGCGGGGGUUGUGGUAAGGCUUACGUUUGGAAGACACUAAUAUAUAAGCUUAGAUCACAAGGAAAGAUUGUCCUGCCGGUAGCAUCUUCUGGCAUCGCUGCAACUUUAAUGCCCGGAGGGCGUACUGCUCAUUCGCAUUUUAAAAUCCCAAUUGUCUUAUAUGAGGAUUCUUCUAGCUCAAUAUCUCAUAAUUCAGAUAUUGCUGAGCUUAUCAAACGCAAUAGUCUUAUUAUCUGGGAUGAAGCUCCUAUGCAGCACAGGUAUGCGUUCGAAUGCCUAGAUCGUUCAAUGAGAGUAAUAAUGAAAUCAGUGAGCAAGGAGCAGGCUUUACUGCCUUUUGGACGCAUCACGGUUCUGCUUGGUGGUGAUUUUAGGCAGAUUCUCCCAGUUAUAUCACUUGGUGACAGGGCUGAUAUUGUAUCUGCAUGCAUUACACGUUCAAGAUUAUGGCGUGCAGCCACUAUUUUUAUCCUGAAGCAAAACAUGCGCCUUAACCAAGGCAAUACUGAAGAGGAAAGACAAAAUUAGAAGUUUUUUGCCGACUGGGUCCUUAAGAUUGGAGAUGGUAAGGUUCAUCAUCCCGAGGGUGAUUUGGAAACUUAUGAAGAGAAUGACAUUGUUAUUCCAACAAAAUUCUGUGAUGUGCAAGUGCAGAACACAGUAGAGAACAGGAUUAAAUGGACAUAUCCCAAUUUCUCCAAAAAUUACCAAAAUCCCAAGUAUCUUAGUGAGCGUGUAAUUUUGACACCUACCAACCAAAAUAUUGGGCAUCUAAACUCUGCUAUUGUCGACACUAUUCCAAGUGAAAUUUACACGUAUUACAGCAUUGACAAAGCUGAAGAUUUUGGGGGUACAUCGUCUGAUCUGGACUUUGCCUUUCCUCCAGAAUAUCUUAAUUCAUUUAACAUUCCUGGCCUUCCCCCACAUGAACUAAAGCUCAAAGUCGGUGUUGCUAUCAUGCUCAUGCGCAAUUUGAAUCAGACUCUUGGUCUUUGCAAUGGAACACGUAUGAUGGUUACCAACUGUUUGAAGCAUUGUGUACAAUGUGAGGUAAUCUAUGGUGCCUUUGUUGGAACCAGACAUUUUAUUCCACGAAUGGAACUAUGUCCUAGUGAGUCCAAGCUGCCUUUCAAGCUAUUACAGAAGCAAAUGCCUUUACAGAUAUGCUACUCGAUGACUAUUAACAAAGCUUAGGGUCAGUCCCUUCAAAUAGUUGGAUUAUUUCUACCAAAACCAGUUUUUACUCAUGGCCAACUGUACGUUGCCUUGAGUAGGGUAACAUCUCAGAAGGCAUAAAAAUCUUCAUUGAUGCAAACAAUGGUAAAUCUACCAAUGUGACCAAAAAUAUUGUAUAUCAUGAAGUAUUCUACAAUUUGCCGGUUA